AACGCACAUUGCGCCCCCUGGUAUUCCGGGGGGCAUGCCUGUUCGAGCGUCAUUUAUACCAAUCUAGCCUGGCUAGGUGUUGAGCGCCGCCGCCUGGCGGGCCUUAAAACUAGUGGCGGUGCUCUCAAGCUCUACGCGUAGUAAUCUUCUCGCUACAGGGUCUUGGGAGAUGCUAGCCAGCAACCCCAAAUUUUUCUAGGUUGACCUCGGAUCAGGUAGGGAUACCCGCUGAACUUAA
This 238-nucleotide unclassified non-coding RNA is filed under the name Helotiales sp. Its description in RNAcentral is "partial contains 5.8S ribosomal RNA, internal transcribed spacer 2, and large subunit ribosomal RNA". The stretch from base 1 to 52 matches the Rfam family "5.8S ribosomal RNA", at positions 103 to 154 of the family's 154-position model. Lineage: Eukaryota; Fungi; Ascomycota; Leotiomycetes; Helotiales. The record is from RNAcentral. RNAcentral also lists the same sequence under 2 other names.